AACUUAAAUAGUUUAAUUAAAAUAUUGAUUUGUGAUUUCAAAGUUAUAUAUUUAUUUUAAGUU
Molecule: transfer RNA, 63 nt
Filed under: Tegyrius keralaensis
Lineage: Eukaryota; Metazoa; Arthropoda; Insecta; Coleoptera; Chrysomelidae
Description: tRNA-His
Source: RNAcentral